AGCAGGGAAGAAGCGAAAGUGACGGUACCUGCAGAAAAAGCGCCGGCUAACUACGUGCCAGCAGCCGCGGUAAUACGUAGGGCGCAAGCGUUAUCCGGAAUUAUUGGGCGUAAAGAGCUCGUAGGCGGUUUGUCGCGUCUGCUGUGAAAUCCCGAGGCUCAACCUCGGGCCUGCAGUGGGUACGGGCAGACUAGAGUGCGGUAGGGGAGAUUGGAAUUCCUGGUGUAGCGGUGGAAUGCGCAGAUAUCAGGAGGAACACCGAUGGCGAAGGCAGAUCUCUGGGCCGUAACUGACGCUGAGGAGCGAAAGGGUGGGGAGCAAACAGGCUUAGAUACCCUGGUAGUCCACCCCGUAAACGUUGGGAACUAGUUGUGGGGUCCAUUCCACGGAUUCCGUGACGCAGCUAACGCAUUAAGUUCCCCGCCUGGGGAGUACGGCCGCAAGGCUAAAACUCAAAGGAAUUGACGGGGACCCGCACAAGCGGCGGAGCAUGCGGAUUAAUU
RNAcentral lists this ribosomal RNA (503 nucleotides) under Microbacterium sp. RNAcentral describes it as "bacterial SSU rRNA". It matches the Rfam family "Bacterial small subunit ribosomal RNA", at positions 438 to 951 of the family's 1533-position model. The record is from RNAcentral. Lineage: Bacteria; Bacillati; Actinomycetota; Actinomycetes; Micrococcales; Microbacteriaceae.